GACGAACGCUGGCGGCGUGCUUAACACAUGCAAGUCGAACGGAAAGGCCCUGCUUUUGUGGGUUGCUCGAGUGGCGAACGGGUGAGUAACACGUGAGUAACCUGCCCUUGACUUUGGGAUAACUUCAGGAAACUGGGGCUCAUACCGGAUAUGAGCUCCUGCUGCAUGUUGGGGGUUGGAAAGUUUCGGCGGUUGGGGAUGGACUCGCGGCUUAUCAGCUUGUUGGUGGGGUAGUGGCUUACCAAGGCUUUGACGGGUAGCCGGCCUGAGAGGGUGACCGGCCACAUUGGGACUGAGAUACGGCGCAGACGCCUACGGGAGGCAGCAGUGGGGAAUAUUGCACAAUGGGCGGAAGCCUGAUGCAGCAACGCCGCGUGCGGGAUGACGGCCUUCGGGUUGUAAACCGAUGUCGCCUGUGACGAAGCGUGAGUGACGGUAAUGGGUAAAGAAGCACCGGCUAACUACGUG
This 468-nucleotide ribosomal RNA is filed under the name uncultured bacterium. RNAcentral's name for it is "partial 16S ribosomal RNA". It matches the Rfam family "Bacterial small subunit ribosomal RNA", at positions 28 to 507 of the family's 1533-position model. The record is from RNAcentral.